This 606-nucleotide ribosomal RNA is filed under the name uncultured archaeon. RNAcentral describes it as "bacterial SSU rRNA". It matches the Rfam family "Archaeal small subunit ribosomal RNA", at positions 315 to 921 of the family's 1478-position model. The record is from RNAcentral.
UCCAGGCCCUACGGGGUGCAGCAGGCGCGAAACCUCCGCAAUGUGAGAAAUCGCGACGGGGGGAUCCCAAGUGCCAUUCUUAACGGGAUGGCUUUUCAUUAGUGUAAAGAGCUUUUGGAAUAAGAGCUGGGCAAGACCGGUGCCAGCCGCCGCGGUAACACCGGCAGCUCUAGUGGUAGCAGUUUUUAUUGGGCCUAAAGCGUCCGUAGCCGGUUUAAUAAGUCUCUGGUGAAAUCCUGCAGCUUAACUGUGGGAAUUGCUGGAGAUACUAUUAGACUUGAGAUCGGGAGAGGUUAGAGGUACUCCCAGGGUAGAGGUGAAAUUCUGUAAUCCUGGGAGGACCGCCUGUUGCGAAGGCGUCUGACUGGAACGAUUCUGACGGUGAGGGACGAAAGCUAGGGGCGCGAACCGGAUUAGAUACCCGGGUAGUCCUAGCUGUAAACGAUGCGGACUUGGUGUUGGGGUGGCUUUGAGCUGUCCCAGUGCCGAAGGGAAGCUGUUAAGUCCGCCGCCUGGGAAGUACGGUUGCAAGACUGAAACUUAAAGGAAUUGGCGGGGGAGCACCACAACGCGUGGAGCCUGCGGUUUAAUUGGAGUCAACGCCGG